GCCGGGUGCGGUGGCGCAUGCCUGUAAUCUCAGAGGCUUGGGAGGCUGAGACAGGAGAAAUGCAAGUUCAAAGCCAGCCUCAGUAACUUCGAGGUGCUAAGCAACUCAGUGAGACCCUGUCUCUA
Molecule: small RNA, 125 nt
Filed under: Marmota monax (woodchuck)
Lineage: Eukaryota; Metazoa; Chordata; Mammalia; Rodentia; Sciuridae
Source: RNAcentral